GGUUAAGCGACUAAGCGUACACGGUGGAUGCCCUGGCAGUCAGAGGCGAUGAAGGGCGUGCUAAUCUGCGAUAAGCGCCGGUAAGGUGAUAUGAACCGUUAUAACCGGCGAUACCCGAAUGGGGAAACCCAGUGUGAUUCGUCACACUAUCAUUAACUGAAUCCAUAGGUUAAUGAGGCGAACCGGGGGAACUGAAACAUCUAAGUACCCCGAGGAAAAGAAAUCAACCGAGAUUCCCCCAGUAGCGGCGAGCGAACGGGGAGGAGCCCAGAGCCUGAAUCAGCAUGUGUGUUAGUGGAAGCGUCUGGAAAGGCGCGCGAUACAGGGUGACAGCCCCGUACACAAAAGCGCAUGUGCUGUGAGCUCGAUGAGUAGGGCGGGACACGUGGUAUCCUGUCUGAAUAUGGGGGGACCAUCCUCCAAGGCUAAAUACUCCUGACUGACCGAUAGUGAACCAGUACCGUGAGGGAAAGGCGAAAAGAACCCCGGCGAGGGGAGUGAAAAAGAACCUGAAACCGUGUACGUACAAGCAGUGGGAGCCCCACCACUAAGCCAGUGGUGAACUCCACAUACGCAUCCUUUGCUGAGGAUACGGUUAACGGAGCGCAAGCGACGUUCAACCGCAAAAGAAGCAGAGGGGGCUUAGUGGUGGGGUGACUGCGUACCUUUUGUAUAAUGGGUCAGCGACUUAUAUUCUGUAGCAAGGUUAACCGUAUAGGGGAGCCGGAGGGAAACCGAGUCUUAAUUGGGCGUUAAGUUGCAGGGUAUAGACCCGAAACCCGGUGAUCUAGCCAUGGGCAGGUUGAAGGUUGGGUAACACUAACUGGAGGACCGAACCGACUAAUGUUGAAAAAUUAGCGGAUGACCUGUGGCUGGGGGUGAAAGGCCAAUCAAACCGGGAGAUAGCUGGUUCUCCCCGAAAGCUAUUUAGGUAGCGCCUCGUGAAUUCAUCUCCGGGGGUAGAGCACUGUUUCGGCUAGGGGGCCAUCCCGGCUUACCAACCCGAUGCAAACUGCGAAUACCGGAGAAUGUUAUCACGGGAGACACACGGCGGGUGCUAACGUCCGUCGUGAAGAGGGAAACAACCCAGACCGCCAGCUAAGGUCCCAAAGUCAUGGUUAAGUGGGAAACGAUGUGGGAAGGCCCAGACAGCCAGGAUGUUGGCUUAGAAGCAGCCAUCAUUUAAAGAAAGCGUAAUAGCUCACUGGUCGAGUCGGCCUGCGCGGAAGAUGUAACGGGGCUAAACCAUGCACCGAAGCUGCGGCAGCGAACGUAUCACUUAAAGCGAUUCAGCGGGUUACGAUUGACGGAGCGAAGCGACGUCAAAGCGUAUACAAAGUCGAGUCGGUUUAAGGAUACGUUCGUUGGGUAGGGGAGCGUUCUGUAAGCCUGUGAAGGUGGCCUGUGAGGGUUGCUGGAGGUAUCAGAAGUGCGAAUGCUGACAUAAGUAACGAUAAAGCGGGUGAAAAGCCCGCUCGCCGGAAGACCAAGGGUUCCUGUCCAACGUUAAUCGGGGCAGGGUGAGUCGACCCCUAAGGCGAGGCCGAAAGGCGUAGUCGAUGGGAAACGGGUUAAUAUUCCCGUACUUGGUGUUACUGCGAAGGGGGGACGGAGAAGGCUAUGUUGGCCGGGCGACGGUUGUCCCGGUUUAAGCGUGUAGGUGUGUGUUCCAGGUAAAUCCGGUUCACUUUAACACUGAGGCGUGAUGACGAGGCACUACGGUGCUGAAGCAACAAAUGCCCUGCUUCCAGGAAAAGCCUCUAAGCAUCAGGUAACAUCAAAUCGUACCCCAAACCGACACAGGUGGUCAGGUAGAGAAUACCAAGGCGCUUGAGAGAACUCGGGUGAAGGAACUAGGCAAAAUGGUGCCGUAACUUCGGGAGAAGGCACGCUGACAUGUAGGUGAAGUGAUUUACUCAUGGAGCUGAAGUCAGUCGAAGAUACCAGCUGGCUGCAACUGUUUAUUAAAAACACAGCACUGUGCAAACACGAAAGUGGACGUAUACGGUGUGACGCCUGCCCGGUGCCGGAAGGUUAAUUGAUGGGGUCAGCGCAAGCGAAGCUCCUGAUCGAAGCCCCGGUAAACGGCGGCCGUAACUAUAACGGUCCUAAGGUAGCGAAAUUCCUUGUCGGGUAAGUUCCGACCUGCACGAAUGGCGUAAUGAUGGCCAGGCUGUCUCCACCCGAGACUCAGUGAAAUUGAACUCGCUGUGAAGAUGCAGUGUACCCGCGGCAAGACGGAAAGACCCCGUGAACCUUUACUAUAGCUUGACACUGAACAUUGAGCCUUGAUGUGUAGGAUAGGUGGGAGGCUUUGAAGCGUGGACGCCAGUCUGCGUGGAGCCGGCCUUGAAAUACCACCCUUUAAUGUUUGAUGUUCUAACGUGGACCCGUGAUCCGGGUUGCGGACAGUGUCUGGUGGGUAGUUUGACUGGGGCGGUCUCCUCCUAAAGAGUAACGGAGGAGCACGAAGGUUGGCUAAUCCUGGUCGGACAUCAGGAGGUUAGUGCAAUGGCAUAAGCCAGCUUGACUGCGAGCGUGACGGCGCGAGCAGGUGCGAAAGCAGGUCAUAGUGAUCCGGUGGUUCUGAAUGGAAGGGCCAUCGCUCAACGGAUAAAAGGUACUCCGGGGAUAACAGGCUGAUACCGCCCAAGAGUUCAUAUCGACGGCGGUGUUUGGCACCUCGAUGUCGGCUCAUCACAUCCUGGGGCUGAAGUAGGUCCCAAGGGUAUGGCUGUUCGCCAUUUAAAGUGGUACGCGAGCUGGGUUUAGAACGUCGUGAGACAGUUCGGUCCCUAUCUGCCGUGGGCGCUGGAGAACUGAGGGGGGCUGCUCCUAGUACGAGAGGACCGGAGUGGACGCAUCACUGGUGUUCGGGUUGUCAUGCCAAUGGCACUGCCCGGUAGCUAAAUGCGGAAGAGAUAAGUGCUGAAAGCAUCUAAGCACGAAACUUGCCCCGAGAUGAGUUCUCCCUGAGACUUAAAGUCUCCUGAAGGAACGUUGAAGACGACGACGUUGAUAGGCCGGGUGUGUAAGCGCAGCGAUGCGUUGAGCUAACCGGUACUAAUGAACCGUGAGGCUUAACCUU
RNAcentral lists this ribosomal RNA (3088 nucleotides) under Salmonella enterica subsp. enterica serovar Derby. Its description in RNAcentral is "23S ribosomal RNA". It matches the Rfam family "Bacterial large subunit ribosomal RNA". The record is from RNAcentral. Lineage: Bacteria; Pseudomonadati; Pseudomonadota; Gammaproteobacteria; Enterobacterales; Enterobacteriaceae.